Molecule: long non-coding RNA, 324 nt
Filed under: Rattus norvegicus (Norway rat)
Lineage: Eukaryota; Metazoa; Chordata; Mammalia; Rodentia; Muridae
Description: long non-coding RNA NONRATT024787
Source: RNAcentral
AUUUACAAUAACAAAAUUAAACGAAUAAAUGAAAACGGCUCGUUUGGUUUUCAGGAGAGUAACGAGAAACCUAAUGAGGAAUAAGCAGGUGGUGAUUAUGCGUCUUGUUCAGAAUCUGAUCAUGGGUCUGUUCCUCAUUUUCUACCUUCUCCGAGUCCAGAACAACAUGCUGAAGGGCGCUGUUCAGGACCGUGUAGGGCUGUUGUACCAGCUCGUGGGUGCCACCCCGUACACCGGCAUGCUCAACGCUGUGAACCUCUGUAAGUGCCUGUGUUGGAGGUGCGGCUCUCUCCCCCACAUCUAUCUGAUCCGAAUGUUGCCUCC